GGGGCUCCACCCCUAAUAGAAAGUGACUAUAAUAUCCAUUAAAAUAAGGUGUAAAAACGAGAAGAGGAGAGAAUGUGACAGUGAUGUGUGUAUGUGUGUGUGUGAAGAAAUAAUUUUCUAAAAUGUGUUUGCAAUUUGUUUUAAUAGAGGAGAAUUCAGUGCUUGUGAAUGAGCAAUGAAUUUACAGUGCAAUAACAAUAAGCUACUUUCAAAAAUUACUGGAAUCAUAAUGCAGUACAUCAAGAAGGAAUAGAGGGAGUGAGAGACCCUAAUCCACCUUAUCAGACAAAGAAACAGCUACCCUAACCAUAGCC
RNAcentral lists this unclassified non-coding RNA (314 nucleotides) under Hevea brasiliensis (rubber tree). The record is from RNAcentral. Lineage: Eukaryota; Viridiplantae; Streptophyta; Magnoliopsida; Malpighiales; Euphorbiaceae.